This 344-nucleotide long non-coding RNA is filed under the name Gossypium barbadense (sea-island cotton). RNAcentral's name for it is "long non-coding RNA (GBAR_LNC010031)". Lineage: Eukaryota; Viridiplantae; Streptophyta; Magnoliopsida; Malvales; Malvaceae. The record is from RNAcentral.
AUAAACAACGAUCCGCCCUUCCUAUUUUUCUUCAGUCUCUUUCUUACAUACCUGUGUUUCACCACUCGGAUUAUCUCUUCGGCAACGUCUUCCUGGUGGUGGAAGUGGUGAACACUGACUGCUAAGUAACAAGUUAGCAAAAUGGGACCUGGUGGACCGGGAGGAGGGCCGGGAGGACCAGGUGGACCGGGAGGAUGGGGAGGAGGACCUGGUGGUUGGGGUCCUGGCCCUGGAGGACCUGGCGGAUUUGGGCCCGGAGGUCCUGGUUGGGGUCCGGGACCUGGAGGUCCCUGGGGCCCUGGAUUUGGAGGUCCUGGUUUUUGGCCUGGUGGGUUCUUUGGCGG